This 1705-nucleotide small RNA is filed under the name Pan troglodytes (chimpanzee). RNAcentral describes it as "processed transcript". Lineage: Eukaryota; Metazoa; Chordata; Mammalia; Primates; Hominidae. The record is from RNAcentral.
UUAGAACAUUUUCAUAACCCCCAAAGGAAACCCUAUACCCAUUAGCAGUUACUCCCUGUUUCCCAUUCCCUAAAGCCAUCAGGGGAUGGACACUUUGGUUGUUUUUACCUUUUAUUUCUUUUUGGUAUAUGCCUAGGAGUUGAAUUGCUGAAUCAAAUGGUAGCUCUGUUUAAUUUUUUGAGGAACUUAACAUGGCUUAUUUUGGUGAAUUAUUCCUAUCAUCACUUUUGGACACAAAUGAAGAACACAGCAUGCCUAACUAGACAUGGGAUGAGAAUUUGUGCCGCAUAGAUUCCCUUAGCCUAGACUGCAGCAUUGGUGCUCCCAGGUGUCCCUGAAUGCUGUGUCAGUGGGAGGCUGUUGGAGCUGAAAGCCUGCUCGUCCAGUUCCGUCGCUCUCUUGGGAUCUCCAGCCUUUUAAGCAAACCAACUCUGAGCAUUUGGGAAUUUAUAAUUAAAACAAAUCAACAGACCCAAGUCUUGGAUUGAGGAACAGGCAAUGGGAUCAUUCCUCAGUGUGGCCAAAGGAUCUGACGAGCCCCCAGUCUUCUUGGAAAUUCACUACAAAGGCAGCCCCAAUGCAAACGAACCACCCCUGGUGUUUGUUGGGAAAGGAAUUACCUUUGACAGUGGUGGUAUCUCCAUCAAGGCUUCUGCAAAUAUGGACCUCAUGAGGGCUGACAUGGGAGGAGCUGCAACUAUAUGCUCAGCUAUCGUGUCUGCUGCAAAGCUUAAUUUGCCCAUUAAUAUUAUAGGUCUGGCCCCUCUUUGUGAAAAUAUGCCCAGUGGCAAGGCCAACAAGCCGGGGGACGUUGUUAGAGCCAAAAACGGGAAGACCAUCCAGGUUGAUAACACUGAUGCUGAGGGGAGGCUCAUACUGGCUGAUGCGCUCUGUUACGCACACACGUUUAACCCGAAGGUCAUCCUCAAUGCCGCCACCUUAACAGGUGCCAUGGAUGUAGCUUUGGGAUCAGGUGCCACUGGGGUCUUUACCAAUUCAUCCUGGCUCUGGAACAAACUCUUCGAGGCCAGCAUUGAAACAGGGGACCGUGUCUGGAGGAUGCCUCUCUUCGAACAUUAUACAAGACAGGUUGUAGAUUGCCAGCUUGCUGAUGUUAACAACAUUGGAAAAUACAGAUCUGCGGGAGCAUGUACAGCUGCAGCAUUCCUGAAAGAAUUCGUGACUCAUCCUAAGUGGGCACAUUUAGACAUAGCAGGCGUGAUGACCAACAAAGAUGAGGUUCCCUAUCUACGGAAAGGCAUGACUGGGAGGCCCACAAGGACUCUCAUUGAGUUCUUACUUCGUUUCAGUCAAGACAAUGCUUAGUUCAGAUACUCAAAAAUGUCUUCACUCUGUCUUAAAUUGGACAGUUGAACUUAAAAGGGUUUUGAAUAAAUGGAUGAAAAUCUUUUAACGGAGACAAAGGAUGGUAUUUAAAAAUGUAGAACACAAUGAAAUUUGUAUGCCUUGAUUUUUUUUUCAUUUCAAAGAUUUAUAAAGGUAAAGUUAAUAUCUUACUUGAUAAGGAUUUUUAAGAUACUCUAUAAAUGAUUAAAAUUUUUAGAACUUCCUAAUCACUUUUCAGAGUAUAUGUUUUUAAUUGAGAAGCAAAAUUGUAACUCAGAUUUGUGAUGCUAGGAACAUGAGCAAACUGAAAAUUACUAUGCACUUGUCAGAAACAAUAAAUGCAACUUGUUGUGCUCUC